RNAcentral lists this transfer RNA (85 nucleotides) under Enterobacter cloacae. Its description in RNAcentral is "tRNA-Tyr". It matches the Rfam family "tRNA". From Rfam's summary of the family: Transfer RNA (tRNA) molecules are approximately 80 nucleotides in length. Their secondary structure includes four short double-helical elements and three loops (D, anti-codon, and T loops). The record is from RNAcentral. RNAcentral also lists the same sequence under 4 other names. Lineage: Bacteria; Pseudomonadati; Pseudomonadota; Gammaproteobacteria; Enterobacterales; Enterobacteriaceae.
GGUGGGGUUCCCGAGCGGCCAAAGGGAGCAGACUGUAAAUCUGCCGUCAUCGACUUCGAAGGUUCGAAUCCUCCCCCCACCACCA